UACGGAGGGUGCAAGCGUUAUCCGGAUUUACUGGGUUUAAAGGGUGCGUAGGCGGGUCUUUAAGUCAGUGGUGAAAUCCUCCCGCUUAACGGGAGAACUGCCAUUGAUACUAUUGGUCUUGAAUUCAGUUGAGGUGGGCGGAAUGUGUCGUGUAGCGGUGAAAUGCUUAGAUAUGACACAGAACACCGAUUGCGAAGGCAGCUCGCUAAACUGACAUUGACGCUGAGGCACGAAAGCGUGGGGAUCAAACAGG
This 253-nucleotide ribosomal RNA is filed under the name uncultured bacterium. RNAcentral describes it as "partial 16S ribosomal RNA". It matches the Rfam family "Bacterial small subunit ribosomal RNA", at positions 524 to 776 of the family's 1533-position model. The record is from RNAcentral.